GGCCAGACUCCUACGGGAGGCAGCAGUGGGGAAUAUUGCACAAUGGGGGAAACCCUGAUGCAGCGACGCCGCGUGGGCGACGAAGCGCUCCGGCGCGUAAAGCCCUGUCAGCAGGGAAGAACAAAGACAGUACCUGACCAAGAAGCCCCGGCUAACUACGUGCCAGCAGCCGCGGUAAUACGUAGGGGGCAAGCGUUAUCCGGAUUUACUGGGUGUAAAGGGAGCGUAGACGGCGAUGCAAGCCAGAUGUGAAAGCCCGGGGCUCAACCCCGGGACUGCAUUUGGAACUGUGUGGCUGGAGUGUCGGAGAGGCAGGCGGAAUUCCUAGUGUAGCGGUGAAAUGCGUAGAUAUUAGGAGGAACACCAGUGGCGAAGGCGGCCUGCUGGACGAUGACUGACGUUGAGGCUCGAAAGCGUGGGGAGCAAACAGGAUUAGAUACCCUUGUA
This 447-nucleotide ribosomal RNA is filed under the name uncultured bacterium. RNAcentral describes it as "bacterial SSU rRNA". It matches the Rfam family "Bacterial small subunit ribosomal RNA", at positions 329 to 792 of the family's 1533-position model. The record is from RNAcentral.